UACGUAGGGGCGAGCGUUGUCCGGAAUUAUUGGGCGUAAAGGGUUCGCAGGCAGUUUUUUUAAGUCAGGUGUGAAAGCCAUAGGCUCAACCUAUGUAAGCACUUGAAACUGGAAGACUUGAGUUAAGGAGAGGAAAGUGGAAUUCCUAGUGUAGCGGUGAAAUGCGUAGAUAUUAGGAGGAAUACCAGUGGCAAAGGCGACUUUCUGGACUUAUACUGACGCUGAGGAACGAAAGCGUGGGGAGCAAACAGGAUUAGAUACCCCUGUAGUCCCUGAGCGGGCU
This 283-nucleotide ribosomal RNA is filed under the name uncultured prokaryote. Its description in RNAcentral is "partial 16S ribosomal RNA". It matches the Rfam family "Bacterial small subunit ribosomal RNA", at positions 524 to 817 of the family's 1533-position model. The record is from RNAcentral.